UGCGCUGCUCGUUGAGGGUCUCGAGCACGGAAUUGCUGAAGUUGUGAAGGUUGAUGCUGUGAAUGCGCUCGGUCAUCCCCUUGCAACUGAUGUCACCUGCAGCAUGUCAACGCAGACACAAAACAGGGCAUGGGUCAGAUCUAGUUGGCUGCAUUCCUAACACCUAGGUUUCAGAGUAAAAAUAUAGAGUCAGCCUGUGAUGGCAUUCACUGGAAACAUGGAAGGAAUUGCAGUAAUGAAAGUCAUCAUGUAUUCUAAGUGACUAUUCUGUGAGAGCACAACGCAGACAGGGCUCCAGCAGGGAAACUCUCAAACCAUCAAGCAGACUGACUUUCAAAAAAAUAAAAGAUGGAUUUCUUCACUUCUGGAAGGUGCUUUGGUGAAAGGGCACCUAAGGUGAAAUGGACAGAUUGCAGAUGGGUGCACAUAGGUGAAUGCACAUAUCCUACAAUGUGUUCUGAGGCAACAUCAGGUCCUGAUUUCUAGGUCUGGAUCUGGGUUCUCUGCAGCACAGGAGGGCUGAGCUUCUCCUACAUAAUUGCCUUUCAUGGCAGGAACGAAACCAACUACAGACCCAUACAUUCAGAGAGCAGAGCUGAGCUGGAUACAGUGGCUUAGAGAUGUGGUAGAAGGAACCCAGAGCUCCAAGGGGAGAGCAGCAAGAAGACAACAGCAUGGGUUGCAGCUCAGACAACAGGAAAAUAAAAGCAAGCAAAGCUGGCUCACAGAUUUGACCAGGGUGGCAUGAAAUGACAAGCUACCAUGAGAUUCAACAGAGUGACACAGAAGGAUGAUGAGAAACAAACAGAUCCAGAGCAGCUGCCACCACUGUAGGCAGAGGCACAGAUGACCAAGUAGAACAGCACCAGUCCUUGCAAGGUGUGCUCAGAUCUAGCUCGGCAUAGCCAUCUGGCCAGGAGGGAAUGAUGCUGCAAACAGCGUGCACGGCAGUUGAGAACUGCUGUGGGCACCUCAGACUGAGUGGUUACCCUGAUGAUCAAGAAAUGAAGCCAUCUAAAAUUUUGCCUGCUCUCAUAAUUGUGUGUGUGUGUGUGUGUGUGUGUGUGUUUAAUUAAACAAAGUGAACUAAGAAGUGUUUUAUUGGAGACAUAAUGUACUCACAGUAGU
Molecule: long non-coding RNA, 1128 nt
Organism: Callithrix jacchus (white-tufted-ear marmoset)
Lineage: Eukaryota; Metazoa; Chordata; Mammalia; Primates; Cebidae
Source: RefSeq, a predicted model, not a curated record